RNAcentral lists this long non-coding RNA (4835 nucleotides) under Monomorium pharaonis (pharaoh ant). Its description in RNAcentral is "uncharacterized LOC118647683". The record is from RNAcentral. Lineage: Eukaryota; Metazoa; Arthropoda; Insecta; Hymenoptera; Formicidae.
CAAUAAACUUGCAACUUUUCUGUUUGAAAGGGUAUUUGCGCAUACGUUUCUCUUGCGAAUAAAUUCAAGAAUCGAGCCUCUGAGCCACUUCAGCUAUAGCACGGCUCAUUGUGUCAAGCAUUGGCUGCCGGUUUGAGCGGCUUAGCGCUGCUUUCGGUGCGCUCUUAUUUGUUCAAUUUAAAAAAUUAUUAUUUUGGCUAUUAUUGGAGAUAUCCAAAAACUAUAGUAGAUUUUUAUGUUCACCUUAAUCUCGUCUAUCUUUCUAUUAAGUAUUGCAUACAUUAUACGAGACACCGUGUAUAUAGGGCGUUUUCUGUAAAUGGAGAUCUCUCUCUGCCCAGAAUAUACUUCAAUAUUAAAAAAGCAGCAAGUGCGCAAAUUAUAGCUAAAAACGUCUAUUUUUAAAUGCCGUUUGGUAUUUUUUGAAAAAUUUAGUACAAGAUACCAAUAUGGUGUCAAAUUGAGACUAUUUUCCCUCAUUUAUGAACAGAAUAUUUGAACAAAAUAUCAAGACACAAUAUAUAGACUUUAAAAUGCGUUUUCAGAGUAGCUGAAAAUUUCUAGAUACUCAUUUUAGUUAAAAUAUUAUUUUUUGAUACUUCGAUCGAAUAUUCUGCGUGUAACUCACUGAUUUUAGUUAUAAUUUGUUCGAAACUGAUGAACAAUUAUUGCAAACGUAUAAUAUUACAAAUUUAAAAAUCAGAAAUUUUCGAGCUAACUACAAAGGGUUUCAAAAUAUAGAUUAUAAUAUAGCUGAACAAUCUAAUAGUAAUGUGUCUACAACUGGUAAUCAACAAUCAUUUGUAUUAAAAAAAUACACAAAAAGAAAAUGUAACAAACAAUAUGGCUGGACUAUCUAAUAAUAAUUUGUCCGGAACUGAUGAACAAUUAUUGCAAACAUAUAAUAUUACAAAUUUAAAAAUUAGAAAUUUUCGAGCUAACUACAAAGGGUUUUAAAAUACAGAUUAUCAUAAUUUAAGUCAACAUUAUGUAGAAAAAAUGGAAGUCGAGUGUCAAUAUUGUAGAGGGAAACAUUUUCAUGCUGAAAAAGUUCACAAUAAAGAUAACUCAUUCAAAGAUAGUUGUAAUCAUGGAAAAGUUAUAUUGGAACCUUUACCAACAUUUUUUAAUGAACUACAACAAUUAUUUUUGGGAAAUCAUAAAAAAUCUAAUGAGUUUUUUUAAAAACCUAAGAAGUUACAAUGGUGCAUUUUCUUUUGCAUCUCUUAAUGCUAAUUUGGUUAAUUUUAAUGCAUAAAAACGAGGACCUUAUUGUUUCAAAAUUCAAGGUUAAAUUUAUUACCAAAUUAAUACUGCAUUAUAUCCUGCUAUAAAUGAGCAAUCAAGUUAUGGACAGCUUUUUAUUCUUGACGCUAACGAAGCUACAGAAUGCCGUUUAAAUGUAAAUACAAAUCUUCAUGAAGAGUUAUUGCGUACAUUAGAUGACAUUAUUCGUAAUAAUAAUAUAUUUGCUCAAUCAUAUCAAAUGAUGCACGAAGAAAUACUUAAUCAAAAAAGUUUAGGUUUAAAUAUACCUAAUUUAAAAAUAGGAUUUUUAAAUAAAAAAACAGGCAUUGAUCGUGGAAGAUAUAAUGUUCAAAAAAUUAAUAAAGUUGCUGCAAUAUUUUCAACUACUGCAGAUGGAAAUAUUCCUGAUUGUUAUGUUACAAUUAGAAACAAAUGUGAUAAAACUUUAAAAUACGUUAGUAUGGAUCCAAACGUUGAACCUUGGAUUUAUCCAAUGUAUUAUCCAUAUGGUACACAAGGUUGGCAUGAUAAUAUUAAACAAAUCGGAUGGAAAACGUGUAACUAGAUCCAUGUAUGUUCAAUACCGAAUGGCUGUAUGUAAUAAUGUCAAUGUUUUUUUAAUAGGUAAACGGCUAUUUCAACAAUGGCUUGUUGAUAGCUAUGUAAAAAUAGAAAAAGAUAGAAUUAAUUGGUGUAAAGUAAAUCAAAAACAUUUGAGAGUGGAAAAGCACCAAGGACUGAUUGACUAUUUAGAAAAAAAGUGGCUGAUACUAAUGUUUAUAUUGGACGUGUAAUAAUACUUCCUUCUACAUUUAUUGGUUCAUCUAGAAAUAUGAUGCAAAAUUAUCAAGAUGCGAUGACUAUUGUUCGCAAAUAUGAAACGCAGUUUGCCGCACAUACAUAUGUUAAUAACUAUGAAACAAAAUUGCAAAAUUACUAAUUUGGAAACUGUUGAUAAAUAUAUUUCUGCUGAAAUUCCCGAUCCUGCUAUUGAUAAAAAUUUACAUGAAAUUGUCAUGAAGAAUAUGAUUCAUGGACCAUAUGGUGAUUGGUGUAUGAUAAAUGGAAAAUGUUCAAAACAUUUUCCAAAAUCCUUUCACGAAGAAACAACUAUGGAUGAAAAUGGUUAUCCACAAUAUCGUCGAAGAGACACUGGCAUUUUGUAUGAGAAACCCGAAGAAUUUGUAGUAGAUAAUCGGUUUGUUCCUUAUUGUCCCAUAUUAUCACAAAUUUUUAAUUGUCAUAUUAAUGUUGAAGUUGUUUCAAGUAUUAAGUCAAUAAAGUAUUUAUACAAAUAUAUUUACAAAGGUCACGAUGCAGCAUCUGUAGUUAUAGAACAAGAUGUGAAUAAUGUAGAAAUUGUUCAUGACGAAAUCAAAGAUUUUAUUGAAGCACGCUAUGUAGGACCAGUUGAAGCUUACUGGCGUUUGUAGGUAAAACAUUACAAGAGAAGAGUCAUGCUAUUAUUCGUCUAUCUGUACAUUUGCCAAAUGAACAGAAUGUUAUUAUAUCUAAUAAUUCAAAUAAACAAGAUUUACAAUCUGCUUUAGAUCGUAUAACAAUGUUAAUGGAUUAUUUUAAAUAAAAUAAACGAAAUGUUGAUGCACGUCAGUAUGUAUAUACAGAUAUACCUUUAUAUUUUGUAUUUAAAAAGGUAACAUUUAACGGAAAACAAAUUUAUCGUUGGAAAAAACGUCAAUGUCAUUUUAACUAUAUUGGACGCAUGUACUCAGUUAGCCCAAUUGAAAUCGAAUUAUUUCAUUUACGUAUUCUUUUAUUGAAUGUUAAAGGAACAACAUGCUAUAAUGACUUAAAAACAGUCAAUGGUGAAUUACAUCAAACGUUUACUUCUUCAUGUUUAGCUUUAGGCUUAAUUGAAGAUAAUGAAGAAUGGAAAUGUGCAAUAAACGAAGCUUCUAUUUGGAUGAUGCCAAGACAACUUAGGUUACUUUUUGUUCGAAUAUUAAUACAUUGCCAACCAGGGCAUUCAAAAGAAUUGUGGGAUGAAUUUCAAGUUGCAAUGUCAGAAGAUUACAUACGACAAUUUGGACGAGUCACUGGGAUAAGAAAAGCUUAUAUUCAAAUUGGUCAAUUACUUUGCAAAGAAGAUUGGGAACUUUCACAAUUUCCAGAAAUGGAACAAAUAACGAUUGAAUAUGAAAAAGAACAUGCCAAACAAUUGAAAAAAGAAGUCUUACUUGGUGAACAACAAUACAGUCAGUUAAAUCAUGACCAAAAAAUAAUUGUUGAUUAUGUUUUAACUCUUUUAGAAAAAACUGAUGGUCAACAAUUAAAAUGUUUAUACAUUGACGGUUUAUACAUUGACGGUUUAUACAUUACCUGGAGAUUCAGGUAAAAUUUUUGUUUAUACAACAUUAUAUUAUAUUACUAUUUACUCAAGUCUCAAAACAAAGUUGUUAGUACAAUGGCUUUCACUGGUUUCGCUGCAACGUUACUACCGAAUGGAAAAACAACACAUAAAACUUUAGGUUUGCCCAUGCCUCUUUUUGCUGACUCAACAUCGAAUAUAAAAAUUCAAUCAAAAGAAGCUGAAUGUUUGAAGAAAACAGAUGUUUUUAUUUGGGAUGAAGCACCAAUGGCACCGCGAUAUGCUCUUGAAGUGAUGGAUCACCUUUUGCAAGAUUUAAUGCAAAAUAAUCUAAAAUUUGGUGAUAAAAUUGUUAUUCUUGGUGGGGAUUUCAGACAAUUAUUGCCAGUACAACAAAACGUUACACGUCUGAAAUUGUAAAUUUGUCAAUUAAAUUUAGCUCAUUAUGGCAACAUUUCAAAAUCUUUUCAUUAACGGAAAAUAUGCGUAUUUUACGAUAUGAACAAGAAUUUGCUAAUUUUUUAUUAGAUUUGGGAAAUGGUACUUUGAAUGAUCAAUUUAAUAAUAUUGAAGUUCUACUGAGAUGUGUAGCAGAUUUGAACGCAAAUAUAGUAAAAGAUACAUACGAAGAAAUAUUUAAACACUAUCAGUAUAGACUUACAGCAAAACGUGCUAUACUUUCUGCACGAAAUGUUGAUGUGGAGGAACUAAACAAACAAGUUGUAAAUUUACUUGACGAAUCAACAGAAAGAGUGUAUACAAGUAUAGACACUACAGAAACUACUAACGAUAUUCAUGAUAUUAAUAAAACUAUUUUAACAGAAUAUUUGAGUACUUUAAAUCCAGCGAUUCUUCCACCUCAUAAACUUCGAUUAAAAAAAUACACGAUUAUCAUGUUGAUUAGAAAUCUAAACAUCAGCAAAGGUUUAUAUAAUGGAACAACAUUGUUAAUUUUAGAGUUAAGAAACAAUUUGUUAAAAUGCGAAAUUUUAACUGGUGAUAAAAAAGGGGAAAUAGUUUUUUUAAAUCGCAUAACUUUAUAUUGUGAAAACGUUUAUUCAUUUGUGAUGAAAAGAAGACAAUUUCCGAUAAAAAUAGCUUUUGCUAUGACAAUAAAUAAAUCACAAGGACAAACAUUUGACAAAAUUGCAAUUGAUUUAAGAAAAUAUAUUUUUAAUCAUGGUCAACUUUAUAUGGCAUUUUCACGAGUUAGAUCUUGGAAAUCAUUGAAAAUUGAUUUAGGACAAAAAAGACAAAA